GUUUAAAUAGCUUAAAAAGAGCAUGAUAUUGAAGAUAUCCAGGUGAUCUUUUGAUCUUUAAAUA
Molecule: transfer RNA, 64 nt
Filed under: Pseudorhaetus sinicus
Lineage: Eukaryota; Metazoa; Arthropoda; Insecta; Coleoptera; Lucanidae
Description: tRNA-Phe
Source: RNAcentral